GAUGAACGCUGUCUACAGGCUUAACACAUGCAAGUCGAGGGGAAACGACGGGGAAGCUUGCUUCCCCGGGCGUCGACCGGCGCACGGGUGAGUAACGCGUAUCCAACCUGCCUCUGACUGAGGGAUAACCCGUCGAAAGUCGGCCUAAUACCUCAUGGCAUCGUCUGCGGGCAUCCAACGACGAUUAAAGAUUUCAUCGGUCAGGGAUGGGGAUGCGUCUGAUUAGCUUGUUGGCGGGGUAACGGCCCACCAAGGCUACGAUCAGUAGGGGUUCUGAGAGGAAGGUCCACCAGAUUGGAACUGAGACACGGUCCAAACUCCUACGGGAGGCAGCAGUGAGGAAUAUUGGUCAAUGGGCGGGAGCCUGAACCAGCCAAGUAGCGUGCAGGAUGACGGCCCUAUGGGUUGUAAACUGCUUUUAUGCGGGGAUAAAGUGAGGGACGUGUCCUUCAUUGCAGGUACCGCAUGAAUAAGGACCGGCUAAUUCCGUG
RNAcentral lists this ribosomal RNA (491 nucleotides) under uncultured bacterium. Its description in RNAcentral is "partial 16S ribosomal RNA". It matches the Rfam family "Bacterial small subunit ribosomal RNA", at positions 28 to 507 of the family's 1533-position model. The record is from RNAcentral.